UGGGGAAUUUUGGACAAUGGGCGAAAGCCUGAUCCAGCAAUGCCGCGUGUGUGAAGAAGGCCUUCGGGUUGUAAAGCACUUUUGUCCGGAAAGAAAUGGCUCUGGUUAAUACCUGGGGUCGAUGACGGUACCGGAAGAAUAAGGACCGGCUAACUACGUGCCAGCAGCCGCGGUAAUACGUAGGGUCCAAGCGUUAAUCGGAAUUACUGGGCGUAAAGCGUGCGCAGGCGGUUGUGCAAGACCGAUGUGAAAUCCCCGAGCUUAACUUGGGAAUUGCAUUGGUGACUGCACGGCUAGAGUGUGUCAGAGGGGGGUAGAAUUCCACGUGUAGCAGUGAAAUGCGUAGAGAUGUGGAGGAAUACCGAUGGCGAAGGCAGCCCCCUGGGAUAACACUGACGCUCAUGCACGAAAGCGUGGGGAGCAAACAGGAUUAGAUACCCUGGUAGUCCACGCCCUAAACGAUGUCAACUAGUUGUUGGGGAUUCAUUUCCUUAGUAACGUAGCUAACGCGUGAGGUUGACCGCCUGGGGAGUACGGUCGCAAGAUUAAAAGCUCAAAUGA
RNAcentral lists this ribosomal RNA (561 nucleotides) under uncultured bacterium. Its description in RNAcentral is "partial 16S ribosomal RNA". It matches the Rfam family "Bacterial small subunit ribosomal RNA", at positions 355 to 908 of the family's 1533-position model. The record is from RNAcentral.